Molecule: long non-coding RNA, 484 nt
Organism: Globicephala melas (long-finned pilot whale)
Lineage: Eukaryota; Metazoa; Chordata; Mammalia; Artiodactyla; Delphinidae
Source: RefSeq, a predicted model, not a curated record
UAGAGGAGAUUUGUAACGAGUGAAAUAUACAUAAACCACCGAAUGUAUUUUCCUGGCAAUAGCACAUGCCUUCUUACCUAGGUGGGAGUCAUUUCCGGAAACAGUGGCUUCUUGAGGCCCCAGAACGAAUUCACGGACUUCGGGAGGCGGAAGAGUGGCGCUUUGGGUCAGAAGGCGGAGGUCAGAGAGCAGAAUCGGCAGGAUAAUGGGUUUGUGGCCCAGGAUCUGAGGCAGAGGUGGCUCUUCGAGGCCCAUUAUCCCGGGUUGCUCUGGGUCUUAGUUGCAGCAGGCAGGCUCCUUGUUUGCAGCUCACGGGCUCCUUAGUUGUGGCAUGCGAACUCUUAGUUGCAGCAUGCGUGUGGGAUCUAGUUCCCUGACCAGGGAUGGAACCCGUGUCCCCUGCAUUGGAAGGCAGAUUCUUAACCACUGUGCCACCAGGGAAGUCCCCGAAUCCUCUUUACAAAAAUAAAAUAAAAUAAAAGUA